AACGGCCGCGGUAUUUUGACCGUGCAAAGGUAGCGCAAUCACUUGUCUUUUAAAUAGAGACCUGUAUGAAUGGCAUAACGAGGGCUUAACUGUCUCCUUUAUCCUAUCAAUGAAAUUGAUCUCCUCGUGCAGAAGCGAGGAUAAAAACAUAAGACGAGAAGACCCUAUGGAUCUUUAAUCGCAAGAACAGAACAUGUCCAUUCUACAUUUUAACAAAAGAAAAUAAUUGAAACCUGUUCUAAUGAUUUUGGUUGGGGCGACCGCGGAGUAAAAAAGAACCUCCAUGAGGAAUGAAGAAUUUUCUUCCUAUUUAAGGGUGGCAACCCUAUAAAUCAGAAUUUCUGACCACACGAUCCGGCAAAGCCGAUCAACGAACCGAGUUACCCUAGGGAUAACAGCGCAAUCCUCUUUUAGAGCCCAUAUCGACAAGGGGGUUUACGACCUCGAUGUUGGAUCAGGACAUCCUAAU
This 469-nucleotide ribosomal RNA is filed under the name Fundulopanchax mamfensis. Its description in RNAcentral is "partial 16S ribosomal RNA". It matches the Rfam family "Bacterial large subunit ribosomal RNA", at positions 1926 to 2551 of the family's 2925-position model. The record is from RNAcentral. Lineage: Eukaryota; Metazoa; Chordata; Actinopteri; Cyprinodontiformes; Nothobranchiidae.